GGGUUGUGAGGUUAAGCGACUAAGCGUACACGGUGGAUGCCCUGGCAGUCAGAGGCGAUGAAGGGCGUACUAAUCUGCGAUAAGCGCCGGUAAGGUGAUAUGAACCGUUAUAACCGGCGAUACCCGAAUGGGGAAACCCAGUGUGAUUCGUCACACUAUCAUUAACUGAAUCCAUAGGUUAAUGAGGCGAACCGGGGGAACUGAAACAUCUAAGUACCCCGAGGAAAAGAAAUCAACCGAGAUUCCCCCAGUAGCGGCGAGCGAACGGGGAGGAGCCCAGAGCCUGAAUCAGCAUGUGUGUUAGUGGAAGCGUCUGGAAAGGCGCGCGAUACAGGGUGACAGCCCCGUACACAAAAGCGCAUGUGCUGUGAGCUCGAUGAGUAGGGCGGGACACGUGGUAUCCUGUCUGAAUAUGGGGGGACCAUCCUCCAAGGCUAAAUACUCCUGACUGACCGAUAGUGAACCAGUACCGUGAGGGAAAGGCGAAAAGAACCCCGGCGAGGGGAGUGAAAAAGAACCUGAAACCGUGUACGUACAAGCAGUGGGAGCACAGGUUUACCUGUGUGACUGCGUACCUUUUGUAUAAUGGGUCAGCGACUUAUAUUCUGUAGCAAGGUUAACCGAAUAGGGGAGCCGGAGGGAAACCGAGUCUUAAUUGGGCGUUAAGUUGCAGGGUAUAGACCCGAAACCCGGUGAUCUAGCCAUGGGCAGGUUGAAGGUUGGGUAACACUAACUGGAGGACCGAACCGACUAAUGUUGAAAAAUUAGCGGAUGACCUGUGGCUGGGGGUGAAAGGCCAAUCAAACCGGGAGAUAGCUGGUUCUCCCCGAAAGCUAUUUAGGUAGCGCCUCGUGAAUUCAUCUCCGGGGGUAGAGCACUGUUUCGGCUAGGGGGCCAUCCCGGCUUACCAACCCGAUGCAAACUGCGAAUACCGGAGAAUGUUAUCACGGGAGACACACGGCGGGUGCUAACGUCCGUCGUGAAGAGGGAAACAACCCAGACCGCCAGCUAAGGUCCCAAAGUCAUGGUUAAGUGGGAAACGAUGUGGGAAGGCCCAGACAGCCAGGAUGUUGGCUUAGAAGCAGCCAUCAUUUAAAGAAAGCGUAAUAGCUCACUGGUCGAGUCGGCCUGCGCGGAAGAUGUAACGGGGCUAAACCAUGCACCGAAGCUGCGGCAGCGACGCUUAUGCGUUGUUGGGUAGGGGAGCGUUCUGUAAGCCUGCGAAGGUGGCCUGUGAGGGUUGCUGGAGGUAUCAGAAGUGCGAAUGCUGACAUAAGUAACGAUAAAGCGGGUGAAAAGCCCGCUCGCCGGAAGACCAAGGGUUCCUGUCCAACGUUAAUCGGGGCAGGGUGAGUCGACCCCUAAGGCGAGGCCGAAAGGCGUAGUCGAUGGGAAACGGGUUAAUAUUCCCGUACUUGGUGUUACUGCGAAGGGGGGACGGAGAAGGCUAUGUUGGCCGGGCGACGGUUGUCCCGGUUUAAGCGUGUAGGUGUGUGUUCCAGGUAAAUCCGGUUCACUUUAACACUGAGGCGUGACGACGAGGCACUACGGUGCUGAAGCAACAAAUGCCCUGCUUCCAGGAAAAGCCUCUAAGCAUCAGGUAACAUCAAAUCGUACCCCAAACCGACACAGGUGGUCAGGUAGAGAAUACCAAGGCGCUUGAGAGAACUCGGGUGAAGGAACUAGGCAAAAUGGUGCCGUAACUUCGGGAGAAGGCACGCUGACACGUAGGUGAAGUGAUUUACUCAUGGAGCUGAAGUCAGUCGAAGAUACCAGCUGGCUGCAACUGUUUAUUAAAAACACAGCACUGUGCAAACACGAAAGUGGACGUAUACGGUGUGACGCCUGCCCGGUGCCGGAAGGUUAAUUGAUGGGGUCAGCGCAAGCGAAGCUCCUGAUCGAAGCCCCGGUAAACGGCGGCCGUAACUAUAACGGUCCUAAGGUAGCGAAAUUCCUUGUCGGGUAAGUUCCGACCUGCACGAAUGGCGUAAUGAUGGCCAGGCUGUCUCCACCCGAGACUCAGUGAAAUUGAACUCGCUGUGAAGAUGCAGUGUACCCGCGGCAAGACGGAAAGACCCCGUGAACCUUUACUAUAGCUUGACACUGAACAUUGAGCCUUGAUGUGUAGGAUAGGUGGGAGGCUUUGAAGUGUGGACGCCAGUCUGCAUGGAGCCGACCUUGAAAUACCACCCUUUAAUGUUUGAUGUUCUAACGUGGACCCGUUACCCGGGUUGCGGACAGUGUCUGGUGGGUAGUUUGACUGGGGCGGUCUCCUCCUAAAGAGUAACGGAGGAGCACGAAGGUUGGCUAAUCCUGGUCGGACAUCAGGAGGUUAGUGCAAUGGCAUAAGCCAGCUUGACUGCGAGCGUGACGGCGCGAGCAGGUGCGAAAGCAGGUCAUAGUGAUCCGGUGGUUCUGAAUGGAAGGGCCAUCGCUCAACGGAUAAAAGGUACUCCGGGGAUAACAGGCUGAUACCGCCCAAGAGUUCAUAUCGACGGCGGUGUUUGGCACCUCGAUGUCGGCUCAUCACAUCCUGGGGCUGAAGUAGGUCCCAAGGGUAUGGCUGUUCGCCAUUUAAAGUGGUACGCGAGCUGGGUUUAGAACGUCGUGAGACAGUUCGGUCCCUAUCUGCCGUGGGCGCUGGAGAACUGAGGGGGGCUGCUCCUAGUACGAGAGGACCGGAGUGGACGCAUCACUGGUGUUCGGGUUGUCAUGCCAAUGGCACUGCCCGGUAGCUAAAUGCGGAAGAGAUAAGUGCUGAAAGCAUCUAAGCACGAAACUUGCCCCGAG
RNAcentral lists this ribosomal RNA (2790 nucleotides) under Salmonella enterica subsp. enterica serovar Enteritidis. RNAcentral's name for it is "partial 23S ribosomal RNA". It matches the Rfam family "Bacterial large subunit ribosomal RNA". Lineage: Bacteria; Pseudomonadati; Pseudomonadota; Gammaproteobacteria; Enterobacterales; Enterobacteriaceae. The record is from RNAcentral.